Molecule: long non-coding RNA, 958 nt
Organism: Rhagoletis pomonella (apple maggot)
Lineage: Eukaryota; Metazoa; Arthropoda; Insecta; Diptera; Tephritidae
Exons: 3
Source: RefSeq, a predicted model, not a curated record
GAAUGUAGUUUAGCGUUGGAAAGCAAGGUGCGCGCGUUUGUGUGCUAUACAUUUAACUAAUACAUAGUAAAUCGCUAAAACUAUUUGAUUUCAAUUAAUGGCAUUUUAAAUUAAAAAAAUUGAAAAAUAAAGAAAGUGAAAAAAAAAUUUAAUAAAAGUGAGUUAUGUGAAGAAAGUGAAAGAUUGGUAAAGUGGUGUAGGUGAAAGGUUUGAGCAGUGGCUGCGCUGUGCUGAAGUCAUACGCGCAGGAACAACUAAGCAAAAAAACUAAGCAAGAAAGUGCAAAAAAGGAGCGUACACGAAAUCAGGAAAGCAAGUGGAAAGAAAUCCUGCAAAAGAAUUUACAAUUUUCUAUGCUUCCACAGAACAAAAAUAAAAGCGUGCGAAAAAGUUUCAAACGGUUUACUCCAACAUCGCAGCGCUAAAUAAGUGUGCGCGAAGAAAUAAAAAUAAAAAUUACAAACAGGAUAAAAAGGAGCUAAAAAUUAAAAUCUAAUUUGAAAAAGAAAGGCGUCCUCGAACCCAACUUACUGUUUGACAGAAGCAGUGAAAACGUAAGCGGUAGUGUAAAAUGAAACUGUCACAAGAACUCUUUUCACAAUUUUUGCUGCUCUGCUUUGCUGCUAAAAGCAGAAAAUGGAUUAAAAGCGGAUUUUGGUCUCUCGAAAGUUGUCACGACGUCAAAGCUUAGAUUGUAGCAGAUUCGUUUUUCGACUUUUGGAAGUGCUAGUUACAUGGAAUAUAAAACUCGACUUGCGAGGGUCGGCGAGUUUUGGUACAUCGCACAGUGGCCAGAGAGGCCAUGUUCUAUAUGAAAAAUUAGGACUAUUACGUUUUUUUAAUAAAACUGUAGGUUCAUAGUAUUAUUGUCAUGCUAAAUCCAAAUAUGUCAUCAACGGAAAUUACACACGGAAAUGGUGCAACGGAAAUGGUUGGGGCGGAAACAAGUGAUUCUUGA